UCUUAGUGAACAGCAACUGAAAUGUUUGCUUGACGAACAUUUCAUGGUUAAAGAAAUUGCUGCAAUGUCUUCUGUAAGUCAACGAACAAUCCGGAACAGAGCGACACAGUGUCAGUUAUCUGUGAGGCAGACUUACAGUGAUAUCUCUGAUGAAGACUUAAAAAUACAUGUGAUGGAAUUCAUUGCCAGUUGUCCUAAUACAGGACAAAAGAUGGUCAUGGGACAUCUUAAAGCAAGGGGUAUAAGGUCACGUUUGUCAAACUUGCAUUAGCUGACUCUCAGCUGAUCUACGUCUACCUAGGAGUACGAUUCCUAUCAUGGUAUUCUGCAGGACGGUAACCUAGGAGCAUGGUUGCAGACCCCUAGUUGUUGUCAUACUAUACAUCAUCACCUUCAAGAAUGAAUUUGAUGAUUUUUAAGAAAUGGGUACAGUAACGAAGAGUUCAUGAGGUUAUGAGAGCCAUUGAUCCGGCUGGGACUGUGUUACGUGGAUUGGAGCUGAAUAUUGUGCCAAGACGCCCUUAUUCAGUUCCAGCACCUCACUCGCUGUGGCAUAUUGAUGGAAACCAUAAACUCAUCCGUUGGAGAAUAGUUGUCCAUGGGGGCAUUGAUGGCUUUAGCCGUAAAAUAAUGUAUCUGAAAGCCAGCGAUAGCAACAGGGCCUCUACUGUGCCGCAAUGCUUCUUGGAAUCUGUGCAUGUUCAUGGUCUGCCUCAGCGUGUCCGCAGUGAGUGACCAUGGUGGGGAAAAUGUAGAUGUGGCAAGGUUCAUGCUUGAACAUCCUGAUCGAGGACCUUAGCGCAAGAGCUACAUCACAGGCAAGAGUGUCCAUAAUCAACGCAUAGAGAGGCUAUGGCGGGACCUAUGGUGCACAGUCAUCCAUAUUUACUAUGCGGCCUUCCUGCACCUGGAGGACAUUGGGGUUCUUGAUCCGAACAGUGAUGUUCAUAUCACAUGCCUACACUAUGUGAAGAUUCCGAGGCUGAACUGGCAUCUGAAGAUCUUUUCUGACAGCUGGGCCAAACAUCCCCUGUCUUCGGAGGGCUACAGGUCUCAGCAGCUCUGGGUGGCAGGGCUACUUGUUGCA
This is a long non-coding RNA of Carassius auratus (goldfish), 1087 nucleotides long. RefSeq lists it as uncharacterized. The transcript is spliced from 5 exons. The record is from RefSeq and is a predicted model, not a curated record. NCBI's taxonomy places the organism in Eukaryota, Metazoa, Chordata, Actinopteri, Cypriniformes, Cyprinidae.